CUAGUUUACUAGAUAAGUCGCGAACGGCUGAGUAACACGUAGGAAUUUACCCCAUGGUGUGGAAUACCUAUUCGAAAGAGUAGUUAAUACCGCAUAAGAUCUCCGGAUGAAAGGAUGUAACUAUCCGCCGAGGGAAAAGCUUGCGGCCCAUCAGCUUGUUGGUAGGGUAAUGGCCUACCAAGGCUACGACGGGUAGGGGGCUUGAGAGAGUGUUCCCCCAGAGAGGCACUGAGAUACGGGCCUC
Molecule: ribosomal RNA, 244 nt
Filed under: uncultured bacterium
Lineage: Bacteria
Description: partial 16S ribosomal RNA
Rfam family: Bacterial small subunit ribosomal RNA
Source: RNAcentral